AUGAACGCUGGCGGCGUGCCUAAUACAUGCAAGUCGCGCGAACAGAUAAGGAGCUUGCUCCUUUGACGUUAGCGGCGGACGGGUGAGUAACACGUGGGUAACCUACCUAUAAGACUGGGAUAACUUCGGGAAACCGGAGCUAAUACCGGAUAAUAUUUCGAACCGCAUGGUUCGAUAGUGAAAGAUGGUUUUGCUAUCACUUAUAGAUGGACCCGCGCCGUAUUAGCUAGUUGGUAAGGUAACGGCUUACCAAGGCGACGAUACGUAGCCGACCUGAGAGGGUGAUCGGCCACACUGGAACUGAGACACGGUCCAGACUCCUACGGGAGGCAGCAGUAGGGAAUCUUCCGCAAUGGGCGAAAGCCUGACGGAGCAACGCCGCGUGAGUGAUGAAGGUCUUCGGAUCGUAAAACUCUGUUAUUAGGGAAGAACAUACGUGUAAGUAACUGUGCACGUCUUGACGGUACCUAAUCAGAAAGCCACGGCUAACUACGUG
RNAcentral lists this ribosomal RNA (496 nucleotides) under uncultured bacterium. RNAcentral's name for it is "partial 16S ribosomal RNA". It matches the Rfam family "Bacterial small subunit ribosomal RNA", at positions 29 to 507 of the family's 1533-position model. The record is from RNAcentral.